RNAcentral lists this ribosomal RNA (253 nucleotides) under uncultured bacterium. RNAcentral's name for it is "partial 16S ribosomal RNA". It matches the Rfam family "Bacterial small subunit ribosomal RNA", at positions 524 to 776 of the family's 1533-position model. The record is from RNAcentral.
UACGAAGGGGGCUAGCGUUGUUCGGAAUUACUGGGCGUAAAGCGCGCGCAGGCGGUUCUUUAAGUCAGGGGUGAAAGCCCAGAGCUCAACUCUGGAAUUGCCCUUGAAACUAGAGGACUUGAGUACGGGAGAGGUGAGUGGAAUUCCGAGUGUAGAGGUGAAAUUCGUAGAUAUUCGGAAGAACACCAGUGGCGAAGGCGGCUCACUGGCCCGUUACUGACGCUCAGGCGCGACAGCGUGGGGAGCAAACAGG